Molecule: ribosomal RNA, 561 nt
Filed under: uncultured Sphingomonas sp.
Lineage: Bacteria; Pseudomonadati; Pseudomonadota; Alphaproteobacteria; Sphingomonadales; Sphingomonadaceae
Description: bacterial SSU rRNA
Rfam family: Bacterial small subunit ribosomal RNA
Source: RNAcentral
AGCUUUGGUGGCGCAGCUAACGCGUUAAGUUAUCCGCCUGGGGAGUACGGCCGCAAGGUUAAAACUCAAAGAAAUUGACGGGGGCCUGCACAAGCGGUGGAGCAUGUGGUUUAAUUCGAAGCAACGCGCAGAACCUUACCAGCGUUUGACAUGGUAGGACGGUUACUGGAGACAGUUUCCUUCCCUUACGGGACCUACACACAGGUGCUGCAUGGCUGUCGCCAGCUCGUGUCGUGAGAUGUUGGGUUAAGUCCCGCAACGAGCGCAACCCUCGUCUUUAGUUGCCAUCAUUAAGUUGGGCACUCUAAAGAAACUGCCGGUGAUAAGCCGGAGGAAGGUGGGGAUGACGUCAAGUCCUCAUGGCCCUUACGCGCUGGGCUACACACGUGCUACAAUGGCGGUGACAAUGGGCAGCAAACCCGCGAGGGUGAGCUAAUCUCCAAAAGCCGUCUCAGUUCGGAUCGUUCUCUGCAACUCGAGAGCGUGAAGGCGGAAUCGCUAGUAAUCGUGGAUCAGCAUGCCACGGUGAAUACGUUCCCAGGCCUUGUACACACCGCCCGU